Molecule: long non-coding RNA, 270 nt
Filed under: Ictidomys tridecemlineatus (thirteen-lined ground squirrel)
Lineage: Eukaryota; Metazoa; Chordata; Mammalia; Rodentia; Sciuridae
Description: lncRNA (ENSSTOG00000034048.1)
Source: RNAcentral
GCAGGAGGCCGGGCUGCAGUAUGCAGUGUCCUCCACGUCCCUGGGCCCUGUCGGUCCUGCUCCUGCAAGCGGCAGGCCUGGGAAGGAAGAGUUAACCAGAAAUGGAGCGGCGCUGCUCCGGGGCAAGCAGGCUCGCUGCAGAACAGAGCCGAGAUCGUGCAAAGGCAGCUCAGUAGUGCGGUGCGGGGCUGGCUGAGUGAAGUGCGUGCCCCAGUCGCUUUUGAGCAGAGCUCUGUGCCAUCCCUGGGUCCUCGGCAGAAUGAGCCAUGA